This 253-nucleotide ribosomal RNA is filed under the name uncultured bacterium. RNAcentral's name for it is "partial 16S ribosomal RNA". It matches the Rfam family "Bacterial small subunit ribosomal RNA", at positions 524 to 776 of the family's 1533-position model. The record is from RNAcentral.
UACGUAGGGCGCAAGCGUUAUCCGGAAUUAUUGGGCGUAAAGAGCUCGUAGGCGGUUUGUCGCGUCUGCUGUGAAAAUCCAGGGCUUAACCCUGGACCUGCAGUGGGUACGGGCAGACUGGAGUGCGGUAGGGGAGAUCGGAAUUCCUGGUGUAGCGGUGAGAUGCGCAGAUAUCAGGAGGAACACCGGUGGCGAAGGCGGAUCUCUGGGCCGUAACUGACGCUGAGGAGCGAAAGCAUGGGGAGCGAACAGG